This 562-nucleotide ribosomal RNA is filed under the name uncultured bacterium. RNAcentral describes it as "partial 16S ribosomal RNA". It matches the Rfam family "Bacterial small subunit ribosomal RNA", at positions 355 to 911 of the family's 1533-position model. The record is from RNAcentral.
UGGGGAAUUUUGGACAAUGGGGGAAACCCUGAUCCAGCCAUCCCGCGUGUGCGAUGAAGGCCUUCGGGUUGUAAAGCACUUUUGGCAGGAAAGAAACGUCGCGGGUUAAUACCCCGCGAAACUGACGGUACCUGCAGAAUAAGCACCGGCUAACUACGUGCCAGCAGCCGCGGUAAUACGUAGGGUGCAAGCGUUAAUCGGAAUUACUGGGCGUAAAGCGUGCGCAGGCGGUUCGGAAAGAAAGAUGUGAAAUCCCAGAGCUUAACUUUGGAACUGCAUUUUUAACUACCGGGCUAGAGUGUGUCAGAGGGAGGUGGAAUUCCGCGUGUAGCAGUAAAUGCGUAGAUAUGCGGAGGAACACCGAUGGCGAAGGCAGCCUCCUGGGAUAACACUGACGCUCAUGCACGAAAGCGUGGGGAGCAAACAGGAUUAGAUACCCUGGUAGUCCACGCCCUAAACGAUGUCAACUAGCUGUUGGGGCCUUCGGGCCUUGGUAGCGCAGCUAACGCGUGAAGUUGACCGCCUGGGGAGUACGGUCGCAAGAUUAAAACUCAAAUGAAUU